CCAGAUAGCAGACGGACUCGGCCCGAAUGUGGCCUCAUGAUGGCACUGCUGGCGUGCUGCCGGCAACGGCAUGCAACAUGUCAGCCAAGUAUGGGCCAGGUGUGGCAAUGAUGGCACUGGAUCCAUGAUGGCAGAUAAUAUUUGGGCCAGUUGUGAUUGGGAGGUAUGUGGCCCAGAUCAGUGUAGUGAUUCUGGCCCAGAUCAGUCUAGUGAUUGUAAGCCACAUUUAAAAUACUGAUUUAUAAUAAAUAAUUAGAAGAAUUUAAGGAUUUUGAGGCUAUCUUAAUCUUAAUGUUAAUUUAACCUUUAUUAAGUAAAAUGUUAGUUUUGUAUUAAAAGAAACUAAUAUAUUUGGACAAUAAUGUUUGUCUACAUUUCAAUUACAUAAACUUGCCUUCAGAUCAUGGGUCAAGAUUAUUUUGUUCAAAUGACCCUGAACUUCCAAAAGUUUUUCUUUCUGAAUUUAAAAGUUUCUAUAACGUUGCUUUGAGAAGCACCAUGGAUCGUUUUUAUUUCAACUUGCGCGAUUUUCAUUGUAGCAGGAGUUUAUUCCUGCUGAAGAUUUCUGACUUCAAUGACUAAACUAUCAUUGUGUACAAUCAGAUGUUAGAUACUGCAGAAAUAAACGUUACUGUGCUGAAGAUUUCUGACUUCAAUGACUAAGUAAAACUAUCAUUGUGUACAAUCAAAUGUUAGAUACUGCAGAAAUAAACAAAAUGUAUUGUUAACCUUCGCGUUACGUUAAGGAUGCGCAGUUUAUUUAUGAAGUGCAACAAGAACCUACACGCGGAUGACAUCAAAGUACUGCGAGAGCGACUCGAAAGAUCAUGGACAGCAUUCUGAUUUCAAAUCACUCUCGCGGUAUUUUAACGUCAUCCGUUUCUCAGUUCCUGCAACUCAGCAUUACGUUGAACACUUUGUCAAAAAUGAUUGAGAGGGCCAAUCAAAUCAAAAAAGGCGAGUGCCACUGGCCAAUCACAUAACAGAAGACGAGCUUUCCUGUUAACGGAAGCCGAGCGGCGGCCAAUCAAAUUAACCAAUAGGCGGGGUUACCAUCGGAGUAGCAGUUACACCGCGUCAAUCAAUCAUAACGGACACACAGAUUUCAAAGGCAGCAGGAUGAAAGAUAGUAAGUACCUGAACUUAAAUAUUUAAACUUUUACAAUCAUAAAAAUGUUUUUGACGUAUAAAGGGAUGCAAACGUUUACGUGAUUCGUGUGUAACGUAAUGUGUGACAAUUAACGUUAUAUUGAUAUUAAAUUAGCUGUUUUCUAUCAGGUUAAGAAAAACUGUGAUCAUAUUAUAAUGAAGUAAUCGAAUUUGGUUAUCUGGUCUUCCUGAUGUUAGAACAUUUAUAUAAAAAAACAUAUUUAAAAAUGUAUUUCUGUAACGUUUAAUUUUCUUUUUUUGAUGAAAGUGUGUCUGUGUUCAUCAAGACAUGAAGACUCUGGAGUGGGACAAGAGAAGGAUGAUGGGGUGUAUAUUCAAAUAGACACAUUAAGUCACAUUGUGAUUUCAGUGAAAGCUGAUAAAUACAGAGGGCUGGACAGUGGUUUCAUUCAUUAGGUAAAGAGGUGGGACAAGGAUGCUGACAGGACAGGAUGAGGUGACAUUCAGGUUAGUGACAGUACAUCAGGGCCACCAUUUAAUUUAAUGUUAAUUUAAUUGCUUCCAAAAUCAAUACUUGACAAAUCUUUAGAAUUAUAUCUGCAAAGCUGAAUUUCUCAUAGGUGGAUAAAGUAUGACAACAAUUGUGAAGACCUUAGACGUCGUGCAGUAUAUGGUUCUUCUCUCUUUCAUUUAUAUUGAUUUGACUUAAUUUUCUUGGUAACUAAUAAUGGGGAUAUUCCUAAUAUAAUAUAUUUUAAAUACAUGCUUAGAACAUAUCUCAUUUGCUCAUGUGCUUUGUAUCUAAAUGAAAAGUACCUCUUUAAGGUCUAAGCUAUGUUUCAUUUUAUUUAGACAUUCAACGCAGACAUUUUCAUCCAAAGCAACUUGAGGAAGAAAACAGAAGCAGUUCAUCCUAAAAGUGGGCUGCUGUAAUGUUUACAUCUAUGGAAAGAGGAGCUGAGAAGAAAAGAUAGGCUGGAAAGCAGUACUUCUUGUUGAGGACAAUCCUGAAUAGGAACACUUUCUCCUAGAUUAUUAUUAGUGUUUGAUUGUUUGUUUCAUUUUUAUGAAUUGUAUUGUUUUAAUUUUUCGUUUUAUUUGAAAUUACCUAAGUUAGAUUCAUGUAUACUUUAACUGGAUCUUGUAUCUUUGCUGGCUGGCUGGCUGUAGAGUUGGUUUCACAUACACAUGAAGUUUCUAAUUAACUAACUUUUAAGUUCAGUUUGGUUUAAACUUGUAUUUACCCAUGGUAAUUCAUUUAAAUUUCUAUUCAUGCUUAUAUAUUAAUUUCAAUGAACUUCUGUAUUUGUGUAUAGCUGGCAAUUUGGGCAAGCUACGUUUAACACACAAAUGUAACUGUCACAAAGGUUUUUUUUAUUAUCAGUUUGUUUUAAACUUUUUUCCUAGUACUUUUGUUUAUUGCUGGCAGUUUAUACUAGAAGAGUUUUAACACAUACAAUGUUGUAGUGUAAUUGACUUGUGUGCUAUUGAUUAAUAAAAAGGCAAACAAUUUGAAAGUAAUUUUUCGUGUGAUUUAUUUAUUAAUAUAAUUUGGGCAAGAUUAGGCUGAGUUAUGGCUCAGUUUUGGAAGUUCUGGUUAAAUGCUGGUUUUAAUAUGGUUGACCUAUGGCUGAGAACUGGUACCGAUGUUAGAACCUGUUCUGGCCCAGGUUUGGGCCAAUUAUGGGCUAUUAUCUGUCAGAGACAUGGGCCAGUUGUGGCCCAUGUGUGGCCUUUGUCCGUAAUUCAGAACUGGGCCACUGUAGGGCCGUCAUUCUUCGUUGUAUGUGGGCCGAGGAAAAACUGGUUGUGUGGGCCGG
This is a non-coding RNA of Paramisgurnus dabryanus, 2930 nucleotides long. NCBI's taxonomy places the organism in Eukaryota, Metazoa, Chordata, Actinopteri, Cypriniformes, Cobitidae. The record is from RefSeq and is a predicted model, not a curated record.